Molecule: ribosomal RNA, 435 nt
Filed under: Corbicula japonica
Lineage: Eukaryota; Metazoa; Mollusca; Bivalvia; Venerida; Cyrenidae
Description: partial 16S ribosomal RNA
Rfam family: Bacterial large subunit ribosomal RNA
Source: RNAcentral
GGCCUUUUGAAAAUUUAUAUAAAAGGUUGGGCCUGCCCGGUGAUCUGAAAUGGUUUAACGGCUGCGAUUGAAACCGUACUAAGGUAGCAUAAUAAUUUGCCCUUUAAUUGGGGGAGAGAAUGAAUGGUUUGACGGUAAAAAAGCUGUUUUUAAAAUAAUUAAAGAAGUUAACUUUUAAGUGAAAAGGCUUAAGUUUUUAUAAAAGACGAGAAGACCCCGUCGAGCUUAAUUAGGAUAGCUUUAUUUAAAAGAUAUCUAAAAUUUUAUUGGGGCAAUAGAAAAUGAAAAGAAUCAUUUUUUUAUAGAAUAAGGAUCCAGUUUUGACUGAAAAAAGCAAAAGCUACCGCGGGGAUAACAGGGUAAUUUUUUCUGAGAGUUCAUAUUUAAGAGAAAGUUUGCUACCUCGAUGUUGGAUUAAAAUUUCUUUAUGCUUGC